RNAcentral lists this long non-coding RNA (487 nucleotides) under Moschus moschiferus (Siberian musk deer). RNAcentral's name for it is "lncRNA (ENSMMSG00000022089.1)". Lineage: Eukaryota; Metazoa; Chordata; Mammalia; Artiodactyla; Moschidae. The record is from RNAcentral.
UACAGAUGAGAAACCUGUGCCAGGCUUAGAAACAAAGCGAUGUGUUUCCAGUGCCCAAGAUGGUAAGUACUCUGUGCAAAGUUCAGAAGCGACAUGCCAUUGCAAGGGUAGCUGACUAAGCCACUGCCCUCAGGAGAUCAGAGAUUUGGACCAUAGACCCAAUAACUGUUUCUUGUCUUUUACCCAGGGGCUGAAUACUCCCAGGAGAUACAUUAUGUUGCUCCCGUGUUCCAGCAGGUGGCACCAAGAGAUCAGAGUGAACCACAGUUUGGGAUAGGAGACACAGUUGAAAUGGAAAACAGUAAUAAUUCUAAAGGCGGAUAUGUCUAUUCUGAACUUGUCUUCUGAGAUUUAACGAUGUAGGCUACAUCUCAAGGUACAUACAAUCCUGUCAUCAGACAAGAGUUUUGUUAGGUGGGAUCCUGACUAAUGACAGUUUUUACAUGCUUUUGCCAUUUUUUGGCAAGGAUCAUUUCCCCUAUUUCCA